Long non-coding RNA from Oncorhynchus tshawytscha (Chinook salmon), 468 nucleotides. NCBI's taxonomy places the organism in Eukaryota, Metazoa, Chordata, Actinopteri, Salmoniformes, Salmonidae. The record is from Ensembl.
GACUAAUGCAUCGAUAAUAAACAGGUUAGUCGAGGUAAUAUGUACAUGCAGGUAGGAGUAAAGUGACUAAUGCAUCGAUAAUAAACAGGUUAGUCGAGGUAAUAUGUACAUGCAGGUAGGAGUACAUUACUUCCGGCGCCGACAGAGAUGGCCUCCUCGCUUCGCGUUCCUAGGAAACUAUGCAGUUUUUUGUUUUUUUACGUGUUAUUUCAUACACUAGUACCCCAGGUCAUCUUAGGUUUCUUUACAUACAGCCGAGAAGAACUACUGAAUAUAAGAUCAGCGUCAACUCACCAUCAGUACGACCAAGAAUAUGUUUUUCGCGAUGCGGAUCCUGUGUUCUGCCUUACAACCAGUGUAACCGAGUGGAUCACAUGCAGCGACCAAAAAAAAAAAAAAAACGACUCAGAAAAAGAGGGAAACGAAGCGGUCUUCUGGUCAGACUCCGGAGACGGGCACAUCGUGCAC